This 65-nucleotide transfer RNA is filed under the name Dipodomys ordii (Ord's kangaroo rat). It matches the Rfam family "tRNA". From Rfam's summary of the family: Transfer RNA (tRNA) molecules are approximately 80 nucleotides in length. Their secondary structure includes four short double-helical elements and three loops (D, anti-codon, and T loops). Further hydrogen bonds mediate the characteristic L-shaped molecular structure. tRNAs have two regions of fundamental functional importance: the anti-codon, which is responsible for specific mRNA codon recognition, and the 3' end, to which the tRNAs corresponding amino acid is attached (by aminoacyl-tRNA synthetases). tRNAs cope with the degeneracy of the genetic code in two manners: having more than one tRNA (with a specific anti-codon) for a particular amino acid; and 'wobble' base-pairing, i.e. permitting non-standard base-pairing at the 3rd anti-codon position. Lineage: Eukaryota; Metazoa; Chordata; Mammalia; Rodentia; Heteromyidae. The record is from Rfam by way of RNAcentral.
GGUGGCUCAGUGGUAGAGUACUUGCCUUGCAUGCAUAAGGUCCUGGGUUCGAUUCCUCAGCACCA